GUUGAAAUUCCAUCAAUGCGCAUAUAUGAAUAGUCAAUGAUUAGACAAAUUUUCAUAUCUGAAUUUUUAAUUAUUAUAAGUUGUUUAAUAAAUUUUUUAUAGAUAAUAAGCAAGAAUAAGCAUGUAUUCACAGAAUUCAAACCUACAUAAAUCAAGGACUUACUAUAUUUUGAAACUCGAACUCAUAAGCAAUUACAAAAGAAAACCAAGGUUAGGUAGGUUGAGCUUUAUUGAUAAAAAAAAAAAUAUUAUCAAAAUGUUGUGCUUUAAAACUAACCCAAUUGCUGUCAAACCUAUGAACAGUUUAUUUUAUUUUGUAGAAUACGAGCUGCCUGGACUAUCCCCAGGACCAGAUUAUACAUAAGCUACACAAGCUACAAUUUAAAAGCCACAAUACAUGUAAAUCUAGUCCUGAUUAUUUCAUCCUUUAAACUUGACCUCUUCUACAAGAGAAUGAUAGGGCCUGUUUUUGGCCUUCCACUAGGUACUCGAAAGUGGCAUUAUUUGCUGACAAAAAACUUAUAAGGUUAAAAUUAUUUUAUUUCUUUAUACAUAUAAAACAAAAUUAACUUGUAUAUUAGAUUAUAAUUUAUUUUAUAUUUUCCAAAAUAUCAAUAAUCAUUGACUUAUGUGUAAUGAAUCUGUUAAUUCUGUAGUAGAUCAAUACAAUUCAAUGGGUUUCAAGUCCCUGACAUAAUGAUAGGAAAUACAAAAGGC
RNAcentral lists this long non-coding RNA (717 nucleotides) under Androctonus crassicauda. Lineage: Eukaryota; Metazoa; Arthropoda; Arachnida; Scorpiones; Buthidae. The record is from RNAcentral.